CUAGUUGGCGAGGUAACGGCUCACCAAGGCAACGACGGGUAGCUGGUCUGAGAGGAUGGCCAGCCACAUUGGGACUGAGAUACGGCCCAGACUCCUACGGGAGGCAGCAGUGGGGAAUCUUGCGCAAUGGCCUAACGGCUGACGCAGCGACGCCGCGUGUGGGAUGAAGCUCUUCGGAGUGUAAACCCCUGUUGCCCGGGACGAAUAGCUCGAUUAAUCGAGCCUGACAGUACCGGGUGAGGAAGCACCGGCUAACUCCGUGCCAGCAGCCGCGGUAAUACGGGGGGUGCGAGCGUUGUCCGGAAUCACUGGGCGUAAAGGGCGCGUAGGUGGUUUGAUAAGGGUGUGGUGAAAGUCCGGGGCUCAACCCCGGAUCUGCCGUGCCGACUGUCAAACUCGAGGACUGUAGAGGCAGACGGAAUUCCGGGUGUAGCGGUGGAAUGCGUAGAGAUCCGGAGGAAGACCGGUGGCGAAGGCGGUCUGCUGGGCAGUUUCUGACACUGAGGCGCGACAGCGUGGGGAGCAAACAGGAUUAGAUACCCUGGUAGUCCACGCCGUAAACGAUGGGUACUAGGUGCCUGGGGGAGCGACCCUCUGGGUGCCGGCGCUAACGCAGGAAGUACCCCGCCUGGGGAGUACGACCGCAAGGUUGAAACUCAAAGGAAUUGACG
Molecule: ribosomal RNA, 671 nt
Filed under: uncultured Gemmatimonadota bacterium
Lineage: Bacteria; Pseudomonadati; Gemmatimonadota
Description: SSU rRNA
Rfam family: Bacterial small subunit ribosomal RNA
Source: RNAcentral